This 238-nucleotide unclassified non-coding RNA is filed under the name Orbiliaceae sp. RNAcentral's name for it is "partial contains 5.8S ribosomal RNA, internal transcribed spacer 2, and large subunit ribosomal RNA". Lineage: Eukaryota; Fungi; Ascomycota; Orbiliomycetes; Orbiliales; Orbiliaceae. The record is from RNAcentral.
CGCAUAUUGCACCUUUGAGUAUUCUCUGAGGUAUACCUGUUUGAGCGUCGUUUAACACUAUAAAGCUUUGCUUUUUAUUAGAAUUUGGUUAGAAAUAUCCAAUUUCUUAAACAAAGUGGCGUCAUUUUUUUUGUCAAUACACAGUGAAAAUGUGUAGUUGUAAUAGAAAUGAUCAUUUUGCCUAUUUCAACUAAACUUGUUCGACCUCAAAUCAAGUAAGACUACCCGCUGAACUUAA